GGUGUAGCUCAGUUGGUUAGAGCGCCUGACUGUGGCUCAGGAGGUCGCGGGUUCGACUCCCGUCAC
This 66-nucleotide transfer RNA is filed under the name marine eukaryotic metagenome. It matches the Rfam family "tRNA", at positions 5 to 66 of the family's 71-position model. Rfam says of the family: Transfer RNA (tRNA) molecules are approximately 80 nucleotides in length. The record is from RNAcentral.